RNAcentral lists this ribosomal RNA (497 nucleotides) under uncultured bacterium. Its description in RNAcentral is "partial 16S ribosomal RNA". It matches the Rfam family "Bacterial small subunit ribosomal RNA", at positions 28 to 507 of the family's 1533-position model. The record is from RNAcentral.
GAUGAACGCUGGCGGCGUGCCUAAUACAUGCAAGUCGAGCGAACGGACUAGAAGCUUGCUUCUCUGAUGAUAGCGGCGGACGGGAGAGUAACACGUGGAUAACCUACCUAUAAGACUGGGAUAAUAUCGGGAAACCGUAGCUUAUACCGGCUAAUAUUUUGAACCGCAUGGUUCAAAACUGAAAGACGGUCUUGCUGUCCCUUAUAGAUGGAUCCGCGCUGCAGUAGCUAGUUGGUAAGGUAACGGCGUACCAAGGCAACGAUGCAGAGCCGACCUGAGAGGGUGGGCAGCCACACUGGGACGGAGACACGGUACAGACGCCCACGGGAGGGACCAGUAGGGAAACGGCCGGCAGGAGCGAGAGCCAGACGGAACAGCACCGCGUGUGUGAUGAAGGUCUUCGGUUCGUAAAACUAUGUUUUUAGGGAAGAACAUAUGUGUAAGUAACUGUGCACAACAUGACGGUACCUAAUCAGAAAGUCACGGCUAAAUACGUG